CAGAGAAAUUCGCCCUCACGGGUUCUUAAUCCUCAAACCUGUGGAAGCGAGACGUGCUUCGGCGCCUCUGGGCGUCGAAUCUAUGCUGUUUAGCUUGCGUCUGAAGAAAAACAAAAUUUUA
RNAcentral lists this unclassified non-coding RNA (121 nucleotides) under uncultured Ascomycota. Its description in RNAcentral is "sequence contains ITS1". The record is from RNAcentral. Lineage: Eukaryota; Fungi; Ascomycota.